This 305-nucleotide long non-coding RNA is filed under the name Setaria viridis. Its description in RNAcentral is "long non-coding RNA (SVIR_LNC005712)". The record is from RNAcentral. Lineage: Eukaryota; Viridiplantae; Streptophyta; Magnoliopsida; Poales; Poaceae.
GGGGAGGAAAGGUACGUGGGUCUCUUCCGAUUCUCGCAGUAAAGUGAAACUUUCGCUGGUACUGUGGUAGGAUUAUCGCUGGAACCCAAGUGAUUCACAGGUUAGUUCGUCAGUAUUUAGUCUAUGCAUACAAAGAUGGGAGUAGAUCUAUAUAGUUUUGCUUACUCUAUAAAAAUGGACACGAAUAUUCACUGUAAAGAAAUGGAAAAGCAGUUGACUAAGUAGGAAACGCCAUUACUUGAACUGAAGGGGUCAUAGAUAUAUGAAGGUAUGAGUUAUAACCACAAUCGUUUCUUACAUGUUCU